GGGUUGCUGGAAUGAACAAAGAUAAUACCAUAAGGGUAUGUUUGGUUCGCAUUAUGAAAGAUUACUAGGAAUAAAAGAUAUCCGAGAAUCUUAUUCCUAUUCAUCCUAUUACUAAGAAUGUGGAAUUCCUGUAUUUGGUUCGCACGGUAAUAUUAAUUAGCCAUGUUAUUUAAUAUUACAAAAAAUAUACAAUUUAUUUAUUUAUUUAUUUAUUUAAUUUUAGAUAAUGUUACCAAAAAUUUCAACAUCUUUUUAGAAAAAAAGGAGAGAGAGUAUAAGUUAGAGAGAGAGCAUAAUUAAAAAAUAGAAAGAAAAAUAUAGUCAAAAUUAGAGGGAGUGAGAGAGUUGAAAUUUUAGAAAGAGAGAGAGAGAGCUUAGUUUAGAGAGAGAAAAAAAAAGUUGAAUUUUAGAGAGAAAAAUAAAUUUAGAGAGAGAUAUAAGGUUAGAGUGUAAAGAAAAAUAAUAUCAAUUAGCCGGCGGGUAGGAAGAAAGAAAGAGAUUAGAUAUAUUAUGAUUAUCCCAAUCCAUUAAUAUGAGGAUACCCAUCCUCCCUCAAGGGAAUGAGAUUAGUACUUUGGGGUGAAUCUUAUUCCCAAGUGAAUCCAAUAUUACCAAUUAGAUUACUUAGUGCGUUUAGCCAAACACCGUCAUAUUUUUUUAUUCCAAUUGGAUUACUAGAAAUUUUAAAAGAUAGCGCGAACCAAACGCACCCUAACAGUAUCCAACUUCUGUAAGAUUGACAGUUUUUGAAGAAUUAUUAACAAAUUAU
Molecule: long non-coding RNA, 769 nt
Filed under: Ananas comosus (pineapple)
Lineage: Eukaryota; Viridiplantae; Streptophyta; Magnoliopsida; Poales; Bromeliaceae
Description: long non-coding RNA (ACOM_LNC013128)
Source: RNAcentral